UUCAGCCUUGCUUGGAAUCAGGAGUGGAAGAGAGAUACAGGGAUGCAGCACAGAAGGAGCCUUGCUGUUCUCCUGGCCUGCGGGCUGAAUCGAUGCCACAGGGACCAGAGGCUUCUCAAAUUGCUUCCUGGUGCAUCCCCAUGGCAAAGGAAAAUGACAGAGGACUUCUGGAGGUCCAGGAAUAUAGAUCUAUGCUGCCCACAAAUACAGGAAAUUUAUUUGAAGUCUCAUGAUUUAGCUGAAAACUGAAAAACAUUGUGAAAUAAAUUUUGUAGCUUCAUUCUCCUGAAGAAAAUCUUAGAAAACAUGAUCACGUUUGUAGGGGAGAAGAAAUAUUUUCUCACACACCCAGAGUUUAUAGCUGAGGUAUCUAUAAUAAAAGGUUAAUCAGUGAAAAGCAUACAAAUUUAUUUAAUGCAAGUUUUAUGUGACACAGGAACUUUCAGAAAUGAAAACCCAAAGACACAAGGAAACAGAUUUUUAUGCUAAGUUUGAUGAAGAAACAGACAGUUGUGAAGUAUUGGACAAAGGGGUACGAUGUGAUGGUAACAAACUGGGGGAACGCAACGAGGUCUGUUUUCUAUGACUACUCUCUAUGUCUUCAGAGACAGGGUUGCUCCUUUUUUCUGGGCAUUAGGAGGAUACCUAUGGAAUGAGGGUCUUAUCACCUGCUUUGAAGAAAGGUGAGGGGAAAAUGAGAGACUUUCCUCUUCUGCUGUUUUCUCAAAUACCAAGCUGCCAUACUUCGUUUGGGGUACUGUGUCCUGAACCCAUCAAGGUCAUAUAAAUGGCAAAGAAAGGAUUUAAAGCACAUCUGUGUGUUCAAAAACACCAUAUUCUCCCCAGGAUCUGACACUGCCUAUAGCAUUGGAAGGCAGAGUUCAGAAACCUAGUUUACACUCAUUUUACAAAGCAAUAAAUUGAGGAUCAGAGAAAUUCAUGUGACUUGCCACAUAUUACAAGCUUUGUAUCGCACAUUUCCAUCAGUAUCUGAUGAGGUGUUAGGUGUGAUUUCUUAGGCAGCGUUGGAUCCUCCAGAGGGUGGCUUGCUGUUGACCUGGGUCACCUGAAGGUCUCCAAUGGAGCGUCGUACGUGGGGUGGAGUCAGCUGUCCCUUGGACUCCUAGUUUAUUCUUUGGGCUUGAGGCAAAUCAGAGUCUCCUUGGCACAAUAGUGCUGGGGACCUGGCUGCUGCCAGGAGGAAUGUUCUGUUUGUUUUGGUCCAGAAUCAGCCUGAGGGCGAAUUCUUCCUGGAGAAGAUGAAGGUGUAGAUGGGGAGUGGCCACAACAUGUGGCAAUCCUGCCAGCUAGUGGCCGCAUAAGGAAUGGGCCUAAACCUGCCCAGGAUGCUGCAGGCUGGGGACAAAAAUACUCAGGUUGACUUGGAGUCGGAGGGCACGGGCUUCCUCACCUUGCUCUAGGUCCCUCUGGUCACCUAGGGGAGAGGCUCAGGGAGACCUGAAGAGAUGAAAUGAUGUGUUCUAGGUAUUUUC
Long non-coding RNA from Cebus imitator (Panamanian white-faced capuchin), 1493 nucleotides. RefSeq lists it as uncharacterized. The transcript is spliced from 3 exons. Lineage: Eukaryota; Metazoa; Chordata; Mammalia; Primates; Cebidae. The record is from RefSeq and is a predicted model, not a curated record.